RNAcentral lists this ribosomal RNA (462 nucleotides) under uncultured bacterium. RNAcentral describes it as "partial 16S ribosomal RNA". It matches the Rfam family "Bacterial small subunit ribosomal RNA", at positions 341 to 795 of the family's 1533-position model. The record is from RNAcentral.
CCGGGAGGCAGCAGUGGGGAAUAUUGCACAAUGGGCGCAAGCCUGAUGCAGCCAUGCCGCGUGUAUGAAGAAGGCCUUAGGGUUGUAAAGUACUUUCAGUUGGGAGGAAGGCGUUGAUGCUAAUAUCAUCAGCGAUUGACGUUACCAACAGAAGAAGCACCGGCUAACUCCGUGCCAGCAGCCGCGGUAAUACGGAGGGUGCAAGCGUUAAUCGGAAUUACUGGGCGUAAAGCGCACGCAGGCGGUUGAUUAAGUUAGAUGUGAAAUCCCCGGGCUUAACCUGGGAAUGGCAUCUAAGACUGGUCAGCUAGAGUCUUGUAGAGGGGGGUAGAAUUCCAUGUGUAGCGGUGAAAUGCGUAGAGAUGUGGAGGAAUACCGGUGGCGAAGGCGGCCCCCUGGACAAAGACUGACGCUCAGGUGCGAAAGCGUGGGGAGCAAACAGGAUUAGAUACCCCUGUAGUC